Molecule: ribosomal RNA, 476 nt
Filed under: uncultured bacterium
Lineage: Bacteria
Description: SSU rRNA
Rfam family: Bacterial small subunit ribosomal RNA
Source: RNAcentral
AGGACGAACGCUGGCGGCGUGCUUAACACAUGCAAGUCGAGCGGUAAGGCCUUUCGGGGUACACGAGCGGCGAACGGGUGAGUAACACGUGGGUGACCUGCCCUCCACUCUGGGAUAAGCCUUGGAAACGGGGUCUAAUACCGGAUAUGACCUUCCUCCGCAUGGGGGUGGUGGAAAGCGUUUAGUGGUGGGGGAUGGACCCGCGGCCUAUCAGCUUGUUGGUGGGGUAGUGGCCUACCAAGGCGACGACGGGUAGCCGGCCUGAGAGGGCGACCGGCCACACUGGGACUGAGACACGGCCCAGACUCCUACGGGAGGCAGCAGUGGGGAAUAUUGCACAAUGGGCGGAAGCCUGAUGCAGCGACGCCGCGUGAGGGAUGACGGCCUUCGGGUUGUAAACCGUCUUUCACCUACGACGAAGCGAGAGUGACGGUAGUGGGAGAAGAAGCACCGGCCAACUACGUGCCAGCAGCCGC